Molecule: long non-coding RNA, 3831 nt
Filed under: Sus scrofa (pig)
Lineage: Eukaryota; Metazoa; Chordata; Mammalia; Artiodactyla; Suidae
Description: lncRNA (ENSSSCG00040075786.1)
Source: RNAcentral
AGGCAACAUCCCGGAAGCGGCGGGCUACGUUAACUUGUGGCGGGCCGGGAGAUUCUGGAGGCCGAAGUUUUAGUCGUGGUGGAGGCAGCAGUCGGGAAACGGCAAGGCAGGUUGAGAAGACGGGGAGGAGGCCUGCAGCCCACGGCCCCACAGAGUCUUAGGGACCGGGGUUACAGGGCGGGGAACGGUGCCGGCGUCUUUCUUUCUGUUGCCUGCAGACCCAGGCGCCCGAGUUGAGGAUCCUUUUUACAGAAAGCGCACCCACGACCCCAUGUGUUUUGCGAGUGUGUGUGCGUGUCAGGAAGUGUGUUUGGGUGUGUUUGUGUCUAGAGCGCUCCCUCUAGGAGCAUCCUGAGCGUGCGCGUGCGCACCGCUUUCGGUCAUUUCUGCACAAUCGGGGUGCCCUAAUGUAGUUUUCUAGGAAUUUCCUGUCUAGCAGAAGAGAAACAAACUCUCCACUGUACUUGGGGAUAGGGAGGGUAAUUUUAAGUCAAUCUGAUGGUUAGGAAAGUGUUUAUCAGGAGAGACCACUUGAGUGAAUUUUGAGGAGUGAGAGUGUGACAAGUGUACCAAGCAGAGCGUAAGGAACGGCAGAACUGUAUAUGAAGGCUAGAGCUUUGUUCUAGGCUGUGUGGUAGAUGUGAGAGGAGAAAAGACUGGAAAGACAGGCCAUCCAGGCCACAGGGUGCAGGGAGAGGGUCUGAGUGCUAAGCUGGCUUGGAUUUUUCUCUGUAGGGGAGACCCAACCAUCAAAUCAACUUAAAUGACCCUCCCUGUCCCCAAGUACCUUGGAGUUUUUUUUCUCUUCUGCUAGACAGGAAAUUCCUUGAAACAUUAGGGGACCCCAAUUACUAGUUCUGAGCCAAGUCAGCAGUGUUGAGAGCUAAACUCUAUUCCGUAACUCUGGUAGGAUUGAUUGAAGUGACAGUGUUUGGAAAGUGGUCUUGUUCCCCUUUGAUAAGUUUUCCACUAGCCAGAGUGGGUUUCCUGAAUCUGGUCAUAACUGGCCUUGCUCAAAAGUGGGGAGCAGGUGGGGAGUUCCCCUUGUGGCUCAGUGCUACUUACCCAACUAGUUCUAUUCCUGGCCUCACCCAGUGGGUUAAGGAUGGGAGGUUGCCCUUGAGCUGUGGUUUAGGUCACAGAUGCAGCUUGAAUCCCAUGUUGUGGCACAGGCCUAGCCUGGGAACUUCAUAUGUCCAGGUACAGCCCUUAAAAAAGGAAAAAAAUCCUUCAGUGGCUUCCUAUAGGUCUUUAGGAUAGUGUUCAAAUUGCUUUGGCUCACUAGGCUAAGAUCUUUUUUAUUCUCUUUAUAGCCUCUUCCCCUCUCAAAUCUUUGUUAGUCAAACCUUUGUAAAUAUCUUUCUGCCCACCUGGAGCAUUCUUUCCCCAACUUCUAAGUUUUUUUGUUCUUAGUUUCACUCUUAAGCAUUUUUUGGGGAAUCAGAGGGAGGAGGUGGCCUUUUCUCACUGUGUAGAGUAAGUUAAGUAUUUCUAUGGCACUAGAUUUAUUUCCUAUGUUAGCCUUUUACUGCAAUUACUUAUUUAUUUUAUAUUUUUAUUUUAUUUUUUAUUUUAUUUUUAUUUUUUUGUCUUUUUGCCAUCUCUUGGGCCACACCCGAGGCAUAUGGAGGUUCCUAGGCUAGGGGUCAAAUCGGAGCUGUAGCCGCCGGCCUCUGCCAGAACCACAGCAACGUGGGAUCCAAGCCCUGUCUGCGACCUACACCACAGCUCACAGCAACGCCAGAUCCUUAACCCACUGAGCAAGGCCAGGGAUCAAACCCGCAACCUCAUGGUUCCUAGAUUCAUUUCCGCUGCGCCAAGAUGGAGAUUCCAUCAAAAUAUUUGUUGAAAUAAUAUAUGGAUGAUGAAGUGGGUGAGCGAAUGAGUGAAAGGAAGAUCAAUUAGGGGAAACAGUUAGAACCUGGACGAAAACAUUCAUAGUAGAGAUGAAGAAGAAGGGAUAUGAGAGAGAUAUUGAGAGAAAGAAUGAAUAAUUCUGGUAUCUGAUUAAUUUUGAGAUAAGAGAGAAGGUGAUGCUAAGGUUUUACACUGGAGCAACUAGGAAGGUGGUAAUUCUGACAUUUUCUGAGCAAGCUAAUUAUAUAUCAAGAACUAGAGAUUAUUGGUGGGGAAUGUCUGUGGAUGCUAAGCUGGAUAUGGCCAUACUGUAUUUGAGAUGUUUGGGAGAUGUGCACAAAAGCUGGCUGGCAAUGAGCAUUAGGUGUUUUGAGGAAAGGACUCAUUUUCACAGUGUGUUUGUGUGCCCAGGGCAUUGAUAGCUUUGCUCAAGAGAGUAGGUGAGAUCACUCAGGGAAGAUAUGAACUCCCUCUUGGUGAUCUAGAAAGUAACCUUCAUGAGAGCUGGCACCAUAUUAGAUUUGUUUACCAUUGUAUGUGCUGGACACUCAAAAACAAUUAUUGGUCAAGAAGAGAGGGUGUCCAAUGGGAAGGAAAGAACUGAGUGAAGAUCUUUGAUUACGUAGUAUGUGAGGAGAAAGAAAGAAAAAGAGAAAAGAAUAGGACAGAAACCAAGAGAAAGACUGUCUUGGAAACCAAGGGAGGGGAGAGCAUCCAGAAGUAGGACUAUACAGAUAGAAAGGGUCUGAGAAAUAAGGGACUGAUAAUUUUAGCAGUUAAGAACCUAUUAGUGUUUUCUUUUCUAUUCUAUCCUAGCCUAGCCUGUCCUGUCCUAUCUGAUCCAUUUUUUACAAUUGCACCUGCAGCAUAUGGAAUUUCUUGAGCUAGGAGUUGAAUUGGAGCUACAGCUGAGGACUAUACCACAGCCACAGCAACACCCAGUCUGAGCCUCAUCUGUGACCUUCUCUGCAGCUUGCAGCAACACCAGAUCCCUAACCCACUGAGUGAGGCCAGGUCUCCAAUCUGCAUCCUCCUGGAGACUAUGUCAGGUCCUUAACCUGUUGAGCCACAAUGGAUACUCUGUAAGUUGUUAGUAUUUUAGAUUUUCUCCAAAUGAGCCUAGAUUUUCUGGGCCAUGCUAACUUUAUUAUUGACUCCUUAGCACUGUAAGCCAACAGACUGUUUCUAUUGUUUCACAAAUGUAAACUAUAGCUCCCUUAUGACACUUGGUUUGUAAGUGCCACAAAACCCCUCCGUUAGACCACAAAGUCUGAUCCUUGGUCAAGAAAAAUGCUGUCACCAUUAUUGGUGUUGUUUAAGAGAAGACCUUUCAGUGCAUAGGUAGUUCCUGUGUUACAAAAGUUGGAAGUGUAACUGAGGCUUUGUAAAUAGAAAUGCUGUAGUAGGCCUCUCUAUCAUGAAGUUUGUUGGUGAAGGGAAGGUUGAAGAUGGGAUAGCAGCUUUGUUACACAGUGGUGAUCUUAACCAUCCCCAGGCUGGAAUUUAGAGUUGGCCAGUGGAUUAGUUUCCUGUGCUGUAUAGUGGAUUACCACAGAUUUAGUGACUUAAAGUAGUAGACAUUUAGUAUUUCACAGCAUCCACAGUGUAGCUGGGUCUUGUGCUCAGGGUCUCACAAAGUUGUGAUUAAGGUGUUGAUGGUCUGCAUUCUCAUCUGGAGACUCAACUUGGGAAAAAUCUGUUUUAGUUUCACCUGACUCAGGUUGGUAGAUUCAUUUCUCUGGGGGUGUGUGACUGAGAGGUCUCGGCUUCUGACUGACUUUCUGCUGGAGGUGCUCACCAUGAGUUCCCUACCAUGUGGCCCUUUUCAUGGGGUGUCACACCAUGGCAGUUCGCCUCUUCAAGGCCAGCAGGAGAGACUCUUUUCUCCUAAGACAGAGACUUAUAUAACAUAAUGUAAACACAGGAAUGACAUACGCUCACAUUUGACUUAUUUUGUUAGAUAAAACAAGUCAC